This is a long non-coding RNA of Lolium rigidum, 848 nucleotides long. RefSeq lists it as uncharacterized. The record is from RefSeq and is a predicted model, not a curated record. NCBI's taxonomy places the organism in Eukaryota, Viridiplantae, Streptophyta, Magnoliopsida, Poales, Poaceae. The transcript is spliced from 3 exons.
ACAAGUCAGAACUAUUCAUUUACUUGUUUGUGUGACUAAUGUUCCAUUGCUAUGAAUGCUAACUAUUUUAGUUGUUGUGCUAACCUGACCUAAUGGCAACAUAUUUUGUUUGCACUAUGUGCAUAUAUCGACUCUUUUCAUGCACCUCCUACCCAGUUUAUGAUAUUUGCACCUAUUAUGAAUUUCACAUAUCUUCUAACUUUACUCUCUACAAUGAAAACUCUAUAAAUUCCGCAACGAUGUAUAGUAUCAUCACAUAUGUUCUUCUAUUCAAACAAAGAAAAUGCUUAUUCACAUAGAUAGAUUUGCAUAAGUGCGUAACCAAAGUCAUUUCUAAUAUUGGAUUAACUCGAAGCCCAACACUUCUUUUGAUUCAAACUGGGAUUGCUGAUCAGGCAAGGAAAAGUGAUCAUCAUAACUAUGGUAUUAGUGUGAUGGCAAGGAAAAGUGAUCAUCAUAUUUUCUCGGUGCAUAGCCAUACAUCACAGUUUCACCCGCCUCUAUCUGGUCAUCAUGGCCACAAGACACUGUAGUUGUGGCCAGCAGACCUGGUCUAGCCGGUCUCGGCGCCCUCGCCCAUAUUGUUCUCGCUUUCUCCUACUAUCCCUUACCUUCAUCAGUCAACCAACUCCAUGUAGCCAAGGCAUUAGUGCCCUGGGAGGCGGGGAGACCUUGGUAGUGAUUACCAGUAUGUUCACGAGAUAAGGAAUUUCUCCGUUGAUGUGCACAAAAAGUGUUCCCGGCAUCUGAGAGUUACUUCUAUAUUCUUCAAACUUGCAGCAUGAAUGGAAUCAACUAUAGAAAUUGGAUGGAGGAUCUGUCAGCUAUUGAAGCUCCCUGUCUCUUCA